This 574-nucleotide ribosomal RNA is filed under the name uncultured Colwellia sp. RNAcentral describes it as "bacterial SSU rRNA". It matches the Rfam family "Bacterial small subunit ribosomal RNA", at positions 8 to 573 of the family's 1533-position model. Lineage: Bacteria; Pseudomonadati; Pseudomonadota; Gammaproteobacteria; Alteromonadales; Colwelliaceae. The record is from RNAcentral.
AGAGUUUGAUCCUGGCUCAGAUUGAACGCUGGCGGCAGGCUUAACACAUGCAAGUCGAGCGGAAACGAGAAUAGCUUGCUAUUCGGCGUCGAGCGGCGGACGGGUGAGUAAUGCUUGGGAACAUGCCUUGAGGUGGGGGACAACAGUUGGAAACGACUGCUAAUACCGCAUAAUGUCUUCGGACCAAAGGAGGGGAUCUUCGGACCUUUCGCCUUUAGAGUGGCCCAAGUGAGAUUAGCUAGUUGGUGGGGUAAAGGCUCACCAAGGCGACGAUCUCUAGCUGGUUUGAGAGGAUGAUCAGCCACACUGGGACUGAGACACGGCCCAGACUCCUACGGGAGGCAGCAGUGGGGAAUAUUGCACAAUGGGGGAAACCCUGAUGCAGCCAUGCCGCGUGUGUGAAGAAGGCCUUCGGGUUGUAAAGCACUUUCAGUCGUGAGGAAAGGUUUGUAGCUAAUAUCUGCAAGCUGUGACGUUAGCGACAGAAGAAGCACCGGCUAACUCCGUGCCAGCAGCCGCGGUAAUACGGAGGGUGCGAGCGUUAAUCGGAAUUACUGGGCGUAAAGCGUGCGUA